Molecule: ribosomal RNA, 465 nt
Filed under: uncultured bacterium
Lineage: Bacteria
Description: partial 16S ribosomal RNA
Rfam family: Bacterial small subunit ribosomal RNA
Source: RNAcentral
AGGAAAGAUGGCGGCGUGCUUAACACAUGCAAGUCGAACGAUGAAGCCCAGCUUGCUGGGUGGAUUAGUGGCGAACGGGUGAGUAACACGUGAGUAACCUGCCCUUAACUCUGGGAUAAGCCUGGGAAACUGGGUCUAAUACCGGAUAGGAGCGUCCACCGCAUGGUGGGUGUUGGAAAGAUUUAUCGGUUUUGGAUGGACUCGCGGCCUAUCAGCUUGUUGGUGAGGUAAUGGCUCACCAAGGCGACGACGGGUAGCCGGCCUGAGAGGGUGACCGGCCACACUGGGACUGAGACACGGCCCAGACUCCUACGGGAGGCAGCAGUGGGGAAUAUUGCACAAUGGGCGCAAGCCUGAUGCAGCGACGCCGCGUGAGGGAUGACGGCCUUCGGGUUGUAAACCUCUUUCAGUAGGGAAGAAGCGAAAGUGACGGUACCUGCAGAAGAAGCACCGGCUAACUACGUG